Molecule: signal recognition particle RNA, 300 nt
Filed under: Microcebus murinus (gray mouse lemur)
Lineage: Eukaryota; Metazoa; Chordata; Mammalia; Primates; Cheirogaleidae
Description: Metazoan signal recognition particle RNA (ENSMICG00000029338.2)
Rfam family: Metazoan signal recognition particle RNA
About the family: The signal recognition particle (SRP) is a universally conserved ribonucleoprotein.
Source: RNAcentral
GCCAGGUAGGGUGGCACGUGCCUGUAGUUCUAGCUACCUGAGAGGCUGAAGUGGGAGGAUCACUUGAGCCCAGAAGUUCUGGGUUGUAGUGCACUGUGCCAGUCAGGUGGACACUAAGUUUGGCAUCAAUAUGAUGACCUCCCAGUAUUAGGGGACCACCAGGUUGCCUCAGGAGGAGUGAACCAGCCCAGAUCUGAAAUGAAGCAGAUCAAAACUCCUGUGUUGGUCAGUACUUGGAUCAUGCCUUAUGAAUAGCCACUGUACUCUCCAGCCUGGGCAAUGUAGUGAGACCCUAUCUCU